UACGUAGGGUGCGAGCGUUGUCCGGAUUGACUGGGCGUAAAGCGCACGCAGGCGGAUGCGCGCGUGGGGUGUGAAAUCUGGCCGCUUAACGGCCAGGCGCCAUCCCAUACGGCGCGUCUGGAGUGAUGCAGAGGUCGAUGGAAUUGCCGGUGUAGUGGUGAAAUGCGUAGAGAUCGGCAGGAACACCCAGGGGGAAACCAGUCGACUGGGCAUCUACUGACGCUGAGGUGCGAGAGCGUGGGGAGCGAACCGG
RNAcentral lists this ribosomal RNA (253 nucleotides) under uncultured bacterium. RNAcentral's name for it is "partial 16S ribosomal RNA". It matches the Rfam family "Bacterial small subunit ribosomal RNA", at positions 524 to 776 of the family's 1533-position model. The record is from RNAcentral.